GACAAUGAAUCGUUGUUGUACUGCGAUGAAGAGGUUAAGUUUCCGUCGAUACUGAUUUUCUCUCUGAGUAUACCGAAUUUCUUUACCGGCUGAUCUAUUGCAUAGGAUUCGCGAUACUGGUUUUUAAACCGGUUUGGCUCGUUACUGCGCAAACUACAUAGACGCGUCUACAACAUUCUACUAACAUGAAAAAAAUCGUUAUCAAUGUUUUCACGGAUUUAAAAAAUAUGGGAGAUCAAGCAAUUAUUCUAAAAGUAACUCUAACACAAACUAUCCGACAAGAACAUAAAAUAUAGUUUGAAGUAUUCUUUCGUUCCAUCGACGGUGGACAGGCGGCGUAUGGUUGUCAGAAAGCAACGCGGGAUAAUCGCAUUGCGCAGACCGAAACUAGCAAAAAUAACAUUUUGCUGCGAGGCCAUGAACCAUUAUACUAUGUAUAGUUCGUUCAGAGACGUAUCGAAGUCAUAAAUUAUUAUAUCAAUCGGUUGUACGAUUGUCGCUAUAAUGAUAUUUCUUAUAUCGUCGGAACAUUUUUCUAAAUUGAUUUCAUAACCUCUCUAUGUCUUUAACAGAUAUCUAGUGUAUAUACGUAUAUUGGAAUAUAAAGUUUGCCCAAAAAACAAUUAUCAAGAGUCAGCAUAUAUAAUAUUUUACGGCAGCAUUACAAUAAUUUACGAAAAAUAUCGUAACAUCGUUGUAGUAUCAUUUUCUUCAAAAGACGAAAACGAGCGAAGGCGAGCGUGCAUUGACGCCGCCCGAUACUGGGUGGUAAGUCCAUCGGUGCAUCGUGGUGCAAUCAGUUGUAGCAACAACGAUAUUAUAUUGGUAGUGGUGCAUCGUUUACGGUAGAGGGGGCGAAAGUAUGACGAGAAGAGCAACGAAAUGGUUGAAGGGUGGGAGGAAGAAGGAGAUUGUUAAGUUAUGUUAGUCGAUAUACGGGUUUGUUUGCGUAGUCAGUGACGGUGUAGGAGAGCGCGCAGCAACUGGGAGAGUAAAACGGCGCAUGAAAAGAGAAAAAGAAGAAGAGGGAGGCGAAGUUGCGACCAGGGUGCCAGGGGGUCUGGCCCAAGCCUGUUUGUCGGUCCCGUUGCCCUAUAAUCGUGGUAUACGGAUAAUGGUUUGGGUUAAGGGGACGUCAGGAUGGGCCGUGCUAGAGGGGAACACGAGAGGAAAGGGAUCAGAGUAAAGAACGUGUAUAGAAGAGCCGGCAGCAGCGGCGUCGAGACAGAGUAGUCUCGAACGUCCUGUACUUUCGUAGACGAAAAGGACGAGCCGACGCACACCCAAUCGAGCGAAACUUUCGCUGGCUCGGCUUACCCGUCGUUUGGCAAAGCUUUUCUUCGAUCUUGUCCUGUCCAGAGAACCAAGCGAUGAUUUCUGGCCCAGCUAUGGUAGCUUGAAAAUGUAAUUACCGAGAAAGCCCAGUGGAGAAUAUUCUGCUGAUGCUGGAACACUUGAGGAAUAGCUGUUGAAAAAUAUAAUAUUUUGCUCGUAUUUGGCUGAUUCAAAUACAUUUUUAUAAAAUUUGAAUGAUGUAUAGUUUUAUUAUACUGGAAAUUAAUUAAUUCGGUGAAGGAUGAAUGAGAUAAUAGAUGAAAUAAUUUUCGUGAUUUACAUGCUUGCAUAAAAUUGAUUCAGAAUCUGUUUUCAGGAAACUAAAGCCACGAGGAAACUUUUUUUACAAUUAUAAUUUUUCCACACAUCAAUACAAAGUUUUAUAUUACGAAUAAGGCACAAGAUGAAAACAACCAUGUAUGAAAGAUAACAUCAGAAGAAGUUGUAGCAUUGUCCAUCAUUGUCCAACAGGAGGCGGGAAAAAAAGGGAGGAGGAAAGGGAUGAUGGGGAUGGUGGAGAAGCGGCGGAUGGCGUCGGCGACAGCCGGCAGAGCCACGUCGUCGCCGUUGAACGGACGACGACGAAACGACGGGCAGGCUCUCUCGUGCAGACGAAACGUGUGGAGUGAGAGACGGAAAGGGAGAAAGAGACAGCCGGGCGCCGAUUCCAGCGACCGGCCGGCGCUAACCUCGACGCCAACCGUGGAACGUCGCCGACACCGUCGCCGCCGCUGGCCGACCCACGACACCACG
RNAcentral lists this long non-coding RNA (2088 nucleotides) under Apis florea (little honeybee). RNAcentral describes it as "uncharacterized LOC116414553". The record is from RNAcentral. Lineage: Eukaryota; Metazoa; Arthropoda; Insecta; Hymenoptera; Apidae.